Molecule: ribosomal RNA, 253 nt
Filed under: uncultured bacterium
Lineage: Bacteria
Description: partial 16S ribosomal RNA
Rfam family: Bacterial small subunit ribosomal RNA
Source: RNAcentral
UACAGGGGGGGCAAGCGUUGUUCGGAAUUACUGGGCGUAAAGGGCCAGUAGGCGGCCAACUAAGUCACACGUGAAAUCCCCAGGCUUAACCUGGGAACUGCGUGUGAUACUGGAUGGCUUGAAUUCGGGAGAGGGAUGCAGAAUUCCAGGUGUAGCGGUGAAAUGCGUAGAUAUCUGGAGGAAUACCGGUGGCGAAGGCGGCAUCCUGGACCAUGACUGACGCUGAGGAGCGAAAGCCAGGGGAGCAAACGGG